UACGUAGGGGGCAAGCGUUAUCCGGAUUUACUGGGUGUAAAGGGAGCGUAGACGGCUUUGCAAGCCAGAUGUGAAAGCCCGGGGCUCAACCUCGGGACUGCAUUUGGAACUGUAUGGCUGGAGUGUCGGAGAGGCAGGCGGAAUUCCUAGUGUAGCGGUGAAAUGCGUAGAUAUUAGGAGGAAUACCAGUGGCGAAGGCGGCCUGCUGGACGAUGACUGACGUUGAGGCUCGAAAGCGUGGGGAGCAAACAGG
RNAcentral lists this ribosomal RNA (253 nucleotides) under uncultured bacterium. Its description in RNAcentral is "partial 16S ribosomal RNA". It matches the Rfam family "Bacterial small subunit ribosomal RNA", at positions 524 to 776 of the family's 1533-position model. The record is from RNAcentral.